UGACCUAAACCCUCACCAGAGUAACAAUUGGAGGGCAAGUCUGGUGCCAGCAGCCGCGGUAAUUCCAGCUCCAAUAGCGUAUAUUAAACUUGUUGCAGUUAAAAAGCUCGUAGUUGAAUUUUUGCGUGGUGUUAAUAUUGACUGAUGUCGAGAUUGCACUUCGCUUUUGGGAUUUUUCCCUUUUUACUUUGAGAAAAUUAGAGUGUUUCAAGCAGACUUUUGUCUUGAAUACUUCAGCAUGGAAUAAUAGAGUAGGACUUUGGUUCUAUUUUGUUGGUUUGUGAACCUUAGUAAUGGUUAAUAGGAACGGUUGGGGGCAUUCGUAUUUAACUGUCAGAGGUGAAAUUCUUAGAUUUGUUAAAGACGAACUACUGCGAAAGCAUUUGCCAAGGACGUUUCCAUUAAUCAAGAACGAAAGUUAGGGGAUCGAAGACGAUCAGAUACCGUCGUAGUCCUAACCAUAAACUAA
RNAcentral lists this ribosomal RNA (469 nucleotides) under Babesia capreoli. RNAcentral describes it as "SSU rRNA". It matches the Rfam family "Eukaryotic small subunit ribosomal RNA", at positions 521 to 1040 of the family's 1831-position model. Lineage: Eukaryota; Apicomplexa; Aconoidasida; Piroplasmida; Babesiidae. The record is from RNAcentral.